This 996-nucleotide long non-coding RNA is filed under the name Homo sapiens (human). RNAcentral describes it as "long non-coding RNA NONHSAT189006.1". The record is from RNAcentral. Lineage: Eukaryota; Metazoa; Chordata; Mammalia; Primates; Hominidae.
CAUUGCAAUCCCUGCAAAACCAGAUUCAGGACUGGAGAGAGAAAAUAAGGGCUCCGUGUACUUGUGGAGACAGGAUUUGGACCCAGGUCUCUCCUCCCACCAAAGUUCAGGGUCUAUAGGCCUGAGUUCAAGUCCCGGUUCCUGCACUCCCAGCCAUAUGACCAAAGAGGAUUCAGGUUCUGUAUCCGACUCAUGGGGACAGCAACACACUCAUCUCUCACAGUGAAGACCCAGUAAGAAAUGGCAGCUGUCAGCCAGGAGAGGAAGCUGAGAUCCUGAAAGAGGUGGGGCCCGGCCCAGGGUCACUCAGCAAUUUUCAGUAGCUGCUCCCUACUGGGGAACUGUGUGUCUGAGGUCGUGGCCAUCUGUCCAAAGAGCUUCUUCUGACCAAAGUGCUCAUUUUCAUAGUGUGACCACAGAGGACACCCGUGGGAAGAGGAGUCGGGGCAUCCCUUGCUGGAAAUACCCCAGCCCUGAAGGUUGCUGGCAAAACCACCAUUUAAUUCAGAACAAAAAGUCUGCUCCAGGAGCCCCUGAGAGCGUCAAAAAGAACAAGGUUUCCCCCACUGGACUUUACCUCCAGAUGCCCAGGACAUGGGACAUCAUGCAAAGACCUAGCACGUGGUUUUCCUGACUGGAGAAGAACGGGGACAGAAGGCCUGAUUUGCAUUUCUACUAUUUCCCAGGAGAUGUUGACGCGUUUUCAAUCGCUCACCUGCAGAGCCGCCAGAUUCUGGCCAAUCUCGGCUUUUUUCCCUCUCACUGUGGGUUCUUCAGAGCCCCAUGGUUUAGACACAACGGUGGAUUCUCUUGUGCCCCAAUUACCACAUGCGUCAUGGGGAGAAGAGCUUGAACCCCCCAGAGGGUCAGGUCCAGGGACUUGAGCAUCCAUGGAUUUUGGUGCCUGAGGAGAGUCCUGGAACCAAUCCCCCAUGGAUACUGAGGGACAACUGUAAUCUUUUUUGGAAUAAGGAAUUAAAAAUUUCCCCAAAAUGC